GGGGACAGGUGUGCUGCCGUUCUUCUUAUGCCAGAGAAGUAUCCGCUUGCGGGCUGCGUCGCACGCCUCUUCGUUGGUCAUAACGUCCCAGAGGCCGUCGCUGGCCAGGAUGAGGCAUUCGUCUUCUUUCAUUCGGGGAACAAUUUUGACUUCUGGGACUGGGAUAAUCCAUGGUUUCAGAUAUCUAUCCCCAAUCGACCUUGACAUUGCCAGAACACCGAACACACGGUAUCCAUUCCACUGGAUGACUCUGCCCCCCUCUGCUUCAAUCCGUGCAUAUUCAUCCUCUCUAUUUGGUUUAUGAUCCACCGAUAAAGGC
Molecule: unclassified non-coding RNA, 319 nt
Filed under: Hevea brasiliensis (rubber tree)
Lineage: Eukaryota; Viridiplantae; Streptophyta; Magnoliopsida; Malpighiales; Euphorbiaceae
Source: RNAcentral